Molecule: ribosomal RNA, 528 nt
Filed under: uncultured Ralstonia sp.
Lineage: Bacteria; Pseudomonadati; Pseudomonadota; Betaproteobacteria; Burkholderiales; Burkholderiaceae
Description: bacterial SSU rRNA
Rfam family: Bacterial small subunit ribosomal RNA
Source: RNAcentral
AGAGUUUGAUUAUGGCUCAGAUUGAACGCUGGCGGCAUGCCUUACACAUGCAAGUCGAACGGCAGCAUGAUCUAGCUUGCUAGAUUGAUGGCGAGUGGCGAACGGGUGAGUAAUACAUCGGAACGUGCCCUGUAGUGGGGGAUAACUAGUCGAAAGAUUAGCUAAUACCGCAUACGACCUGAGGGUGAAAGUGGGGGACCGCAAGGCCUCAUGCUAUAGGAGCGGCCGAUGUCUGAUUAGCUAGUUGGUGGGGUAAAGGCCCACCAAGGCGACGAUCAGUAGCUGGUCUGAGAGGACGAUCAGCCACACUGGGACUGAGACACGGCCCAGACUCCUACGGGAGGCAGCAGUGGGGAAUUUUGGACAAUGGGCGAAAGCCUGAUCCAGCAAUGCCGCGUGUGUGAAGAAGGCCUUCGGGUUGUAAAGCACUUUUGUCCGGAAAGAAAUGGCUCUGGUUAAUACCUGGGGUCGAUGACGGUACCGGAAGAAUAAGGACCGGCUAACUACGUGCCAGCAGCCGCGGUAAUA